RNAcentral lists this ribosomal RNA (468 nucleotides) under uncultured bacterium. Its description in RNAcentral is "partial 16S ribosomal RNA". It matches the Rfam family "Bacterial small subunit ribosomal RNA", at positions 28 to 507 of the family's 1533-position model. The record is from RNAcentral.
GACGAACGCUGGCGGCGUGCUUAACACAUGCAAGUCGAACGGAAAGGCCCUGCUUUUGUGGGGUGCUCGAGUGGCGAACGGGUGAGUAACACGUGAGUAACCUGCCCUUGACUUUGGGAUAACUUCAGGAAACUGGGGCUAAUACCGGAUAGGAGCUCCUGCUGCAUGGUGGGGGUUGGAAAGUUUCGGCGGUUGGGGAUGGACUCGCGGCUUAUCAGCUUGUUGGUGGGGUAGUGGCUUACCAAGGCUUUGACGGGUAGCCGGCCUGAGAGGGUGACCGGCCACAUUGGGACUGAGAUACGGCCCAGACUCCUACGGGAGGCAGUAGUGGGGAAUAUUACACAAUGGGCGGAAGCCUGAUGCAGCAACGCCGCGUGCGGGAUGACGGCCUUCGGGUUGUAAACCGCUUUCGCCUGUGACGAAGCGUGAGUGACGGUAAUGGGUAAAGAAGCACCGGCUAACUACGUG